AGGGGGCAGGAAGUCACUUCAACCCACUUCCUGUUAAUGAUCCCCAGAUGUGUCGCGGUGAGCGGGGGUCUGAUUCAUGUCCUGCGGAGGGGGCAGUUAA
Molecule: long non-coding RNA, 100 nt
Organism: Salarias fasciatus (jewelled blenny)
Lineage: Eukaryota; Metazoa; Chordata; Actinopteri; Blenniiformes; Blenniidae
Exons: 3
Source: RefSeq, a predicted model, not a curated record